Molecule: ribosomal RNA, 496 nt
Filed under: uncultured bacterium
Lineage: Bacteria
Description: partial 16S ribosomal RNA
Rfam family: Bacterial small subunit ribosomal RNA
Source: RNAcentral
GAUGAACGCUGGCGGCGUGCUUAACACAUGCAAGUCGAACGAAGUAUAUUGGAAUGAGUUCUUCGGAACAAAUGAAUUUAUACUUAGUGGCGGACGGGUGAGUAACGCGUGGAUAACCUGCCUUACACUGGGGGACAACAGUUAGAAAUGACUGCUAAUACCGCAUAAGCGCACAGUACCGCAUGGUACGGUGUGAAAAACUCCGGUGGUGUAAGAUGGAUCCGCGUCUGAUUAGCUAGUUGGUGAGGUAAUGGCUCACCAAGGCGACGAUCAGGAGCCGGCCUGAGAGGGUGAACGGCCACAUUGGGACUGAGACACGGCCCAGACUCCUACGGGAGGCAGCAGUGGGGAAUAUUGCACAAUGGGCGAAAGCCUGAUGCAGCGACGCCGCGUGAGCGAAGAAGUAUUUCGGUAUGUAAAGCUCUAUCAGCAAGGAAGAUAAUGACGGUACUUGACUAAGAAGCCCCGGCUAACUACGUGCCAGCAGCCGCAGUAA